GUGGGUUAAUUUAAGAUAUGAGAGCUAGUUAAGAUAGAAUACGUUUAAGUGAUUGGCCAAGUAGUGCUUUAGUUAAUACACUUUAUGUGUGAUUAUGUCAGGUCUGGGCAGCCAGGAAACUAACAAGUGGUCUCCGCCUACAAGCUUACCUGCCUCUUUUCCCUUGUUUUCUAUUAAUAGAAAACAGAGUACAUUUGUGUUCACAGAUAUGCCCCAGGCAAGCAAAACUCACCUUGAUGAACUCCAGAUAAAACAUCUGGAGGAGAUGUGCAUUGUCAUUGACAAGCAGGAUCAGAUUAUUGGAGCCGAAACCAAGAGGAACUGUCACCUAAUGGAAAACAUUGAGAAGGGCCUGUUACACUGAGGCUUCAGCGUCAUCCUCUUCAACAGAAAAAAACCAGCUCUUGGUCCAGCACAGAGCAGAUGCCAAGUACACGUUUCCCGGUGAGCUGCGCAGUUGAAGUCCGGGGAGCACUGGAUUCUAACUUAAGCUAUGGGAAACUGAGAGGAACGGCAGUGGACAAAACUAUCAGAGCACCUCCCCCAUAAGCCCCACUCCGACUGAAGAUACGGGGACAUUAAAUUACAAGCAUUUUGCAACUGGAAUUGAGUUGUGGAAUUUUAUAUUCUAGUAUUUGUCUAAUAGAACUGAUACUUAUAAGUCAGAAUUGAAGCUACUUUAUAUACUAUGGCCAGGAGGAAAAGUGCUUUUUUAUUGACUAAAAGGACACAUUCAAUAUAGUAGCAUGCUGUACAUUUUCCCCAGGACAUUUUACAGACUCCUGUUCUAGUGAAGUUUGUCAUGUGUUCAAGGGUCUGUUUAACAGUUAUAGUGUCACAUGACCGCUAUUAAUUCCAUCCAUCAAGAUGCUAUGACUCAGGGGUGGCUGCCAGGCUAACAUGGUUUCUGCCUGUGGAAAUGCCUCAAGUCUGGCCCACAGGACAGGCUGUGAAACAAAUCACUGUACUGAAGCUCAAGUGUUUCUCAUUUCCAUUCUCAAAAGAAAUCUUUCCCACUCCUGUAUGUCCCAACACACAGACCUGUUUAGCCUCAUGUCCUGUACACACGCUUACAACAUCUGUAGGUACCUGGGAUGCACAAUAUGCUGUAUAUACAGACAGAAGCAAAUAACUCAUACACUUAGAAACUUAAAACAUCUAAAACAAAAAGUAGGGCUCAUAACUAAUCCGUGGUUAGAAUGGCAUGUAUUACAGAAACUGAGCUCUAAUAUCCUCCCAUUGUUUGUAUUAAAAUAAAAUUCAAGCACUUAGUUUUGCUUCCUUUUUUUCCCUCCAUCUUUUUUUUCUUAUUUUCUCCCGAGACAGUUUUCCUGUGUAACAAUCCUAGCUGUCCUGGAACUAGCUCUUGUAGACCAGGCUGGCCUCGAACUCAAGAGAUCCACCUGCCUCCUGAGUGCUGGGAUUAAAGGCGUGGGCCACCACUGCCCAGCUUUCUCUCCAUCUCUUAAAAAUUGUCACCUGCCAUGUAUGGAAAUUGUCACUUUCCCGGUGGCAUCACAUUUCUCCUUCUGGAGCUCUGCUCACUUCUCACCAUGUCUAGGGCUCUACAGGCAACCACUGAGCCUCGUGAUUACAAGCAUAUGGUGUAUGAGGGUUAAUAUGGAAAACAAAGAACUUUGUUAGUUUUCAUUGGGUCUACAAAUUUUACAGGGACUAUCUGUGGAGCUGAUGAGCACGAUCAGUUAGUUACUUCCUGCUGUAGUUUUACCUCAGUCAUUGCUGAACCCCAGCACAAAAUGCCUGUCUUGUGCAUAUAAAAUAAUGAUGAAAAUCAAAGUUUAAUUCCCUUAGUAUAGAUCAAGGAGUAAAUUUAUGUGGUAAAUGUUAUUAUGGAUAUACUUAUUAAUAAUGACUAAAACUCAUAAUCUUUAUUAUGCAAAUUAUAUUAAAAGAUUAAGUCAUCUGGAAAUUUGGAAAAAUCUACCUGAUUUCAUUAUUUGCAUAAUGAACUUCUAUUCCAUUGCUUCUCAAACCCUUUGCUAUCUGUAGUUAUAUUAAUCUUUUUUUUUUUUCUAAAAUAGUCUCACUAUGUACCCUUGGCUGUCCUAGAACUCACUAUGUAGACCAGGCUAGCCUCCCAGAGAUCUCUGCACCCCUGCCUCCCUGCUGGGAUUAAAGAUGUGUGCCAUUAUGCCCAGUUUAGGCAAUUAAUUUUCUUGAAAAUUAAAAACAUCAAGUGGAAGUAUCCUAAUUCUUCAUUAAGUUGGGGUCGUCAUUCCCACAAUGAAUUCAGAGCUGAACAAAACUGCCUCAGCUGGAGUAGAGGGAUUCUGACAUUAGCAUGUUCUCUGACAUGUCCCUGUCCAGUUGCAAAGUUUAGCCUCAGCAGCUUUUUCCAGCUGGAAUUCCCAGAAUCUAGCCCAUCGCCUCUGACAUCCUGAGGUUGAUGGCAAAUCUUUAUUCUCCCUAAACAGCUUCUUCCCUGAAGUGUGGACAGCACUUACCUCACACAUUCCAUCCUAACAUGCAAAACACAAGAUAGCUGUGACUGCCAAGACCAUGUAAGCUAUGUUCCUUUGUAGUGAUAUUUCAUUCAUAUUUUACUAAAGACCAGGCAGUGGUGGUACAUGAUUUUAAUCCCAGCUCAGUCUCAUUCUGAGGAUUUGUGAAGGCAGGAUAGCCAUUUCGGUCAGAAGUAGAGGUAAGAGCCAGUGGCUGGGUACUUUGCUUUCCUGAUCUUCAGGUUGAACCCCAAUAUCUGUCUCUGGGUUUUUAUUAUUCAUGCCACAUGUCACUGGGUUCUGAUAAAGGUCUGAAUGGAAGCUGUGGCUCUGACAGGAAGCAGGCAUCUUGAAGACUGUCUUCUGUUGUCUGAACAGGGGGUGUAGUACCAGCUACACUAUGAUUCUUCUCAUUAAUGUUUUAGUACCUUUCAGGGCACUAAUCUUCUGUUUAAGCUCACUCCUAAGUUUCCCUUCUUUCUUUUAAGUGGAACUGUUCCUUAAUCCAGCAAUGGUUCAUGAAAGAUGUCAUUUAACUGCUGCAAAAACCGAGGCAUUUGUUUCCCUGAAAAAGUAUUUUUGAUCUAAGAACAAAGAAGCAAAGUCUUCUUUGUCUUUUUUCUUUGGCCAUCAUAGCAACUUUAAUUAAACCAAACAAUACUUAGGUAAUCAAAACUAAUUUUUUUUUCUGGAAGUUUAUUUAAUAAAAUGGUGGAAGUUACAAUCAUACAUUGAGCUGAAUGUCUAGAAAAUAAUUUAAGAGAGUAAUUUCAGUUCUCACACACUCCUAAAUGUGCUUCCUCAGAAAGGCUAGUAGCCUUCUGCCUACACCUUCCAGUGGAGAUGCUUUCUUCACAAAACAAUAGGCACUCUGGAUAACAAAGCAAAGUCGUUAAAAUUUAAAAAAUGGUGGGAAGGAGUCACACCACACAACUGGGUUCACAUGGGAGUUUUUUUGUUAGAGGAAAGAGAAGGGGCAGAAAAGGGGACAAAAAGGGAGCAGAGAGGAGGACAGAAAGGGGAGCAGAGACUGGUACCUGGGAACAAGAGUG
Long non-coding RNA from Alexandromys fortis (reed vole), 3514 nucleotides. RefSeq lists it as uncharacterized. NCBI's taxonomy places the organism in Eukaryota, Metazoa, Chordata, Mammalia, Rodentia, Cricetidae. The transcript is spliced from 2 exons. The record is from RefSeq and is a predicted model, not a curated record.